This 829-nucleotide long non-coding RNA is filed under the name Ananas comosus (pineapple). Its description in RNAcentral is "long non-coding RNA (ACOM_LNC032453)". The record is from RNAcentral. Lineage: Eukaryota; Viridiplantae; Streptophyta; Magnoliopsida; Poales; Bromeliaceae.
AGAUACCGUCAUGGCCAUUAACGCACAGACACGUAACGGAGAAUUUUGUACUGUGUAUGUGGUGGUUGAAGUCAGGAUCAAAGGAACGUAGUUCAAGACCCGAUUCACUCCGAUUCCUUCUGAUGAAAAUUGUUUACACUAAGGGCAUGUUUGGAUCACCUAUUUUAGAGUAUGGAAUCGGAAUGGAAUUCAUUGAUUCCGAUAGUUGAUGUUUGUUUUAUAGGAAUCGGAUUCCGAUUUCGAUUCCACUCCGGAAUGGGAAUGGCCAAAUCCAUUUAUGAUCCAAUCCGGCUUUGAAUCCCGGAUUUGCUCAUUCCAAAGUAAACUAUUCAAAAUCUUCUUUCAUCAACACAUACCUCCUCUCCCUUUAUCACUUUUCUCUCUCUUAAUCAAAACCCUCUGUAAAAAAUUUUAAAUUUUCAUUAUGAUUUCCAUUCCAAUAAUGAACCAAACAUUUUUGGAUGAUUCGUCAUUCCAUUUUCCAUUCCAAAGCAAUCCAAUUUUAUUUUCCAUUCCUAUUCUAAUCAUAAACCAAACAUACCCUAAGUGAGGUUAAGUCUCUUAAUGAUACCUCACCCAUUGCAUGUAUAAACACCCAGUAUUUUUCUUUUCUGACUUUAAUUUGUAUUUUAAGAAUUUUGAGUUUUGUGGGGGAUUGUUGGUUAAAAACUCAAAAUUUUAAAAUUUGAAUUUUAUUCUAUUUGAAUUUUUAAAUUAUUUAUUUAUUAUUUAUCGUUAUUUAUUAUUUUUAUAAUUUAUUUAAUUAUUUAUUUUUAUUAUCUUUCUUAAUGAAAAAGAAACUAACGGGAUAUUUUUCCGUUCCGUGUUU